RNAcentral lists this long non-coding RNA (220 nucleotides) under Elaeis guineensis (African oil palm). RNAcentral describes it as "long non-coding RNA (EGUI_LNC071714)". Lineage: Eukaryota; Viridiplantae; Streptophyta; Magnoliopsida; Arecales; Arecaceae. The record is from RNAcentral.
AGUAGAUACUGGUAGAGGCCAGGUGCUUACGUAGCUACAUCAGAACCUCAGGCAGUGCUGCGAUCAUCUACAGGGUAAUUAGAUUACCCUUGAGGUAUGUCUAUAUUUCUCAUACUUUUAGAUUUAAUUUUAGAUUUUAAAUAUUAGAUAAUAAAAUUAGAUCUAAUAGAUAUUAGAUCUAAAAUAAUAUAGGAUAAAAAUUUUUAAUUUAUUCCACCCC